AUGGAAGUUCCCAGUCAAGGGGUCAAAUCAGAGCUGCAGCUUCAGCCCAUUCCACAGCCACAGCAACAUGGAACCUGAGUCACAUCUGUGACCUACACCACAGCCUGUGGCAAUGCCAGAUCCUUAAUCCACUGAGCGAUGCCAGGAAUUGAACCCUCAUCCGCAUGGAUACUAGUCGACUUCUCUACCUGCUGAGCCACAAUGGGACCUCCAAUUCUUUAAUCAAUUACAAAAAAAAAAAAAAAAUAAGACUCUGGGACAAUUCCCCAGCCUGCUGAUGAAUGCUGUAAUACCUAGGGUACCCAACAGAAGACACCAUUUCUGGCAAACAGCACUUAAGUACCACAACUGCUAUGAAUGCCAUAUGUCACUGUUCAUGAUAUUUAAUAAUCAACAUAGGAGUUCCUGUCAUGGCACAGUGGUUAACGAGUCCGACUAGGAACCAUGAGGUUGGGGGUUCGGUCCCUGCCCUUGCUCAGUGGGUUGACGAUCCGGCGUUGCCGUGAGCUGUGGUGUAGGUUGCAGACACGGCUCGUAACGUCCCGCGUUGCUGUGGCUCUGGCGUAGGCCAGAGACUACAGCUCCGAUUCAACCCCUAGCCUGGGAACCUCCAUAUAUACAAGUCGGGUUCAUUACCGCUGAGCCCCCAAGGGGAACUCCCAUGUUAUUAAUUUUAACUGAGGUGAUCAUUUGGCCCAACUAUUAUCAAUUUGGACAUAAACGCAUGCACAACCUUUGCCCAAAGCAAGGUUAGCCAUAUAUAUUAUGGUAUCAACAACAGGGGACCUGCUGUUGCCAAUUUUCCUCUGGAUGGACACAGAGCAUCAGGUAGGCUUUGAGGACAGCAAGGAGCACGUAAGUUAGGGUCCAGUCACCAGCCAGCAAACGACUAGCAGAGCAGGCCUGUCAUCCAACCAGGCCCCCAAGGCCACAUGCUGUCAUUUCCAUGCUCCCUGUUUAAACUAUCAAAGGGGAAAACAGGACUGAUACUCAAGGACACUGAUACAUUAGGAAAAAUUAUUAUCUAUAAACUGCUGAUACCUGAGAUGACAGCCAAAAACAGAACCAAAAGGAUGGAUUUCAACACCCAUGUGCUUGGGAAAACCCCUGUCAUACCUGGUGACCAAGAAGUGGCUGGGAAAGCUACCUUGGAAAACCAAACAUAGUCGGCUCUAAAAGCAAUAUUAUAACCAAAGAAUCCCAGACAUUCAUGAGAAUCUUCUGGGUUAUCAAGUGGAAGGGCAUCUUGUCUUCACUUAAAAUUUAUUUUAAUACAUUAAAAUGACAAAAGUAUGGUUUGGAGGAUACAAAUUGUAUUUCUUAGACUACUCCUAUAGUACUUUUUGUCUUAUUCAAGUA
Molecule: long non-coding RNA, 1359 nt
Filed under: Sus scrofa (pig)
Lineage: Eukaryota; Metazoa; Chordata; Mammalia; Artiodactyla; Suidae
Description: lncRNA (ENSSSCG00055008405.1)
Source: RNAcentral